RNAcentral lists this ribosomal RNA (473 nucleotides) under uncultured organism. Its description in RNAcentral is "partial 16S ribosomal RNA". It matches the Rfam family "Bacterial small subunit ribosomal RNA", at positions 335 to 799 of the family's 1533-position model. The record is from RNAcentral.
ACUCCUACGGGAGGCAGCAGUGGGGAAUUUUGGACAAUGGGCGAAAGCCUGAUCCAGCAAUGCCGCGUGAGUGAAGAAGGCCUUCGGGUUGUAAAGCUCUUUUGUCAGGGAAGAAACGGUGAGAGCUAAUAUCUUUUGCUAAUGACGGUACCUGAAGAAUAAGCACCGGCUAACUACGUGCCAGCAGCCGCGGUAAUACGUAGGGUGCAAGCGUUAAUCGGAAUUACUGGGCGUAAAGCGUGCGCAGGCGGUUUUGUAAGUCUGAUGUGAAAUCCCCGGGCUCAACCUGGGAAUUGCAUUGGAGACUGCAAGGCUAGAAUCUGGCAGAGGGGGGUAGAAUUCCACGUGUAGCAGUGAAAUGCGUAGAUAUGUGGAGGAACACCGAUGGCGAAGGCAGCCCCCUGGGUCAAGAUUGACGCCCAUGCACGAAAGCGUGGGGAGCAAACAGGAUUAGAUACCCCAGUAGUCCCAUG